GAUGAACGCUGGCGGCGUGCCUAAUACAUGCAAGUCGAGCGAACGGACGAGAAGCUUGCUUCUCUGAUGUUAGCGGCGGACGGGUGAGUAACACGUGGAUAACCUACCUAUAAGACUGGGAUAACUUCGGGAAACCGGAGCUAAUACCGGAUAAUAUUUUGAACCGCAUGGUUCAAAAGUGAAAGACGGUCUUGCUGUCACUUAUAGAUGGAUCCGCGCUGCAUUAGCUAGUUGGUAAGGUAACGGCUUACCAAGGCAACGUUGCAUAGCCGACCUGAGAGGGUGAUCGGCCACACUGGAACUGAGACACGGUCCAGACUCCUACGGUGGGCAGCAGUAGGGAAUCUUCCGCAAUGGGCGAAAGCCUGACGGAGCAACGCCGCGUGAGUGAUGAAGGUCUUCGGAUCGUAAAACUCUGUUAUUAGGGAAGAACAUAUGUGUAAGUAACUGUGCACAUCUUGACGGUACCUAAUCAGAAAGCCACGGCUAACUACGUG
RNAcentral lists this ribosomal RNA (497 nucleotides) under uncultured bacterium. RNAcentral describes it as "partial 16S ribosomal RNA". It matches the Rfam family "Bacterial small subunit ribosomal RNA", at positions 28 to 507 of the family's 1533-position model. The record is from RNAcentral.